GAGAUGUUAGUAAAACAAUUACACAGCCUUGUCAAGACUGAAUUGCAAGUGAAAGCCUUGCACAUCUCC
This 69-nucleotide transfer RNA is filed under the name Emberiza pallasi. Its description in RNAcentral is "tRNA-Asp". The record is from RNAcentral. Lineage: Eukaryota; Metazoa; Chordata; Aves; Passeriformes; Fringillidae.